GGCAGAGUAGAUUAUUACGCGUUAAGUGUCAGAUGGACGGGAAGUUGCCACUGAACGAAAAAUCAAAAGAUUUGCGGUGUAAUUUUCGCAUUCCGCUGCC
RNAcentral lists this non-coding RNA (100 nucleotides) under Clostridium fallax. RNAcentral describes it as "THF-I sequence". It matches the Rfam family "THF (Tetrahydrofolate) riboswitch aptamer". Rfam says of the family: THF riboswitch presents a pseudoknot that joins P1-P2 and the loop of P3 and two THF binding. Lineage: Bacteria; Bacillati; Bacillota; Clostridia; Eubacteriales; Clostridiaceae. The record is from Rfam by way of RNAcentral.